RNAcentral lists this ribosomal RNA (466 nucleotides) under uncultured bacterium. Its description in RNAcentral is "bacterial SSU rRNA". It matches the Rfam family "Bacterial small subunit ribosomal RNA", at positions 917 to 1382 of the family's 1533-position model. The record is from RNAcentral.
GGGCCCGCACAAGCGGUGGAGCAUGUGGUUUAAUUCGACGCAACGCGAAGAACCUUACCAGGGCUUGACAUCGAGUGAAAGAUCUAGAGAUAGAUCCCUCUCUUCGGAGACACGAAGACAGGUGGUGCAUGGUUGUCGUCAGCUCGUGUCGUGAGAUGUUGGGUUAAGUCCCGCAACGAGCGCAACCCCUAUUGUUAGUUGCCAGCAGGUAAAGCUGGGCACUCUAGCGAGACUGCCGUGGACAACACGGAGGAAGGCGGGGAUGACGUCAAAUCAUCAUGCCCCUUAUGUCCUGGGCUACACACGUGCUACAAUGGACGGUACAAAGGGCAGCGAAGCCGCGAGGUGGAGCAAAUCCCAUAAAGCCGUUCUCAGUUCGGAUUGUAGUCUGCAACUCGACUACAUGAAGUCGGAAUCGCUAGUAAUCGCAGGUCAGCACACUGCGGUGAAUACGUUCCCGGGCCUU